RNAcentral lists this transfer RNA (93 nucleotides) under Erysiphe necator (grape powdery mildew). It matches the Rfam family "tRNA". Rfam says of the family: Transfer RNA (tRNA) molecules are approximately 80 nucleotides in length. Their secondary structure includes four short double-helical elements and three loops (D, anti-codon, and T loops). The record is from Rfam by way of RNAcentral. Lineage: Eukaryota; Fungi; Ascomycota; Leotiomycetes; Helotiales; Erysiphaceae.
GCGGCUUUAGCUCAUUUGGGAGAGCGCCAGACUGAAGAUCCGAGUAAUUGAGGGCAAAUCUGGAGGCACUGUGUUCGAUCCACAGAAGCCGCA